RNAcentral lists this ribosomal RNA (460 nucleotides) under uncultured bacterium. RNAcentral describes it as "partial 16S ribosomal RNA". It matches the Rfam family "Bacterial small subunit ribosomal RNA", at positions 338 to 795 of the family's 1533-position model. The record is from RNAcentral.
CCUACGGGUGGCUGCAGUGAGGAAUAUUGGUCAAUGGGCGAGAGCCUGAACCAGCCAAGUAGCGUGAAGGAUGACUGCCCUAUGGGUUGUAAACUUCUUUUAUAUGGGAAUAAAGUGCAGUACGUAUACGACUUUGCAUGUACCUUAUGAAUAAGGAUCGGCUAACUCCGUGCCAGCAGCCGCGGUAAUACGGAGGAUCCGAGCGUUAUCCGGAUUUAUUGGGUUUAAAGGGAGCGUAGGUGGAUUGUUAAGUCAGUUGUGAAAGUUUGCGGCUCAACCGUAAAAUUGCAGUUGAUACUGGCAGUCUUGAGUACAGUAGAGGUAGGCGGAAUUCGUGGUGUAGCGGUGAAAUGCUUAGAUAUCACGAAGAACCCCGAUUGCGAAGGCAGCUUACUGAACUGUAACUGACAUUGAUGCUCGAAAGUGUGGGUAUCAAACAGGAUUAGAUACCCCAGUAGUC